RNAcentral lists this transfer RNA (71 nucleotides) under Mycoemilia scoparia. It matches the Rfam family "tRNA". From Rfam's summary of the family: Transfer RNA (tRNA) molecules are approximately 80 nucleotides in length. Their secondary structure includes four short double-helical elements and three loops (D, anti-codon, and T loops). Lineage: Eukaryota; Fungi; Kickxellomycota; Kickxellomycetes; Kickxellales; Kickxellaceae. The record is from Rfam by way of RNAcentral.
GCAUUGAUGGUCUAAUGGUAGAAUACUUGCCUUCCAAGCAAGUGGCCCGGGUUCGAUUCCCGGUCGAUGCA